Molecule: RNA transcript, 789 nt
Organism: Magnolia sinica
Lineage: Eukaryota; Viridiplantae; Streptophyta; Magnoliopsida; Magnoliales; Magnoliaceae
Gene name: luminal-binding protein 4-like
Exons: 3
Source: RefSeq, a predicted model, not a curated record
UGUAUCCACUAGAUGCAUCUAAAUGUGAACUAGUUGAAAAAAAAUAAAAUAAUAAAAUAAAAUUACACAAAAAAAAGUUGUUUGGAAGAUGAUAUUUAAACCCAGCUUGAUUGAUUUGCAUACACCUGUUCUCCAUUUUGGGAAUUGGAAAGCUACUCGUGUUUAUUUUCUUGCUGUUUAGUCCCGAUUCCUCUCUCUCACUCUCUCUCUCAAAUUCUAUUUUUUAAUUACUGUUUUGCAUUGUACGAGGGAUGAUGAUUCGGAGGAGCUAGAGAAACGCAAUGUAUUGUUAAUGGGUCCAACUGGCUCAGAUUGCAUUGUUGAAUAUGCAUCCAUUAUUUAAAGAAAGGGCGACAUUCCAAGCACUCACACUUUCUUUCCUUGCUAGCUAAAUUGGCUGACAAACUAAAGAAGUUAGUGGAGGAUGAAAUUCAUUUUCUCAAGGGAAGAGUUUUAGAACUUGAAAGUGAUCUUGUGUCGAAGUCCACAGAAAUUAUAUCUGCAGUUUCAAGGAAAGAAGAAGCUCUAUCUUCUGCAUUUGCUGAAAUUGACCGUCUGAAGGAAGAAAAUUCUGUAAAAACGUGAGCAUUAUUGAAUGCAUAUGGAGGGUGUUUACUGUGUUGGAGUGUAUUUGUUUCUUGUACAUGAGGGCACGCCUUAGUUGUAAUUCUUAUGAUAGGUUGAGCAAAGUGAAGUAUUGUUUAUUUAGAAAUGUGAAUGUAGGAUGCAUUGUAUGAUUUGAUUGCUAUUUGUAAUAAAUGCAUCAUUUUUUUUUCUGAUUGCAUUUUA